GAUGCAAAGGCGUUCCGAGUCUGUGUGCCUAAAGCCGUUCGUAGGAUUGGAAGGCAAGGGCGUCAGACCGAUGGGUGAAGCUGGAAACGGCUCCGCCUGCCACCUUCGCAAAGGGGCGCCAGACUUUGGCGG
RNAcentral lists this non-coding RNA (132 nucleotides) under Coprothermobacter proteolyticus. Its description in RNAcentral is "MoCo sequence". It matches the Rfam family "Molybdenum/Tungsten riboswitch aptamer (Moco RNA motif)". The record is from RNAcentral. Lineage: Bacteria; Pseudomonadati; Coprothermobacterota; Coprothermobacteria; Coprothermobacterales; Coprothermobacteraceae. RNAcentral also lists the same sequence under 1 other name.